Molecule: transfer RNA, 73 nt
Filed under: Candidatus Omnitrophota bacterium
Lineage: Bacteria; Pseudomonadati; Candidatus Omnitrophota
Description: Candidatus Omnitrophica bacterium (groundwater metagenome) tRNA-Ala
Rfam family: tRNA
About the family: Transfer RNA (tRNA) molecules are approximately 80 nucleotides in length. Their secondary structure includes four short double-helical elements and three loops (D, anti-codon, and T loops).
Source: RNAcentral
GGGCCUGUAGCUCAGCUGGUAGAGCGCCUCAAUGGCAUUGAGGAGGCCAGCGGUUCGAUCCCGCUCAGGUCCA